AGAGCCUUAGAUUGAUUAGGUUUGAUGCUACUGUUUCUGCUCGUAGCACUCGUUACUAGAAUGUUUCUGCUUUUGCAUAUUCAUUUGAAAAUCUGAAAAAAUUAUAUAUUUGUUUAUUGUGCAGAGACUCGCAGCUGACUUCUUAGCAAACUAUAUAUUCUUGGCUGUGGGUAGAGUAGGUUCAAGUACUGACUUAAUUGUCCAAAGGGUUGAGUUUGUCCUUGACUCUGACAAGAGAAGUCAUCUCAUGGACCUGCUUCAUGCUCAGAGAGAGAAUGGCAUGGUAAAAAUGUCACUCUUCUUUUCUUCAGCUGGUCUUGUAUGGCAGUCGUUACCAUUCUUCUGAUGACUGUUUUCUCUUCCAUAAUUACAGCAAUCCCUGACCUUAGUCUUUGUGGAGACGAAGAGGGGAGCCGACUCUCUGGAAAAUUGGCUGUGCAUCAAUGGGUUCCCAGCAACCUCCAUUCACGGUGACAGAUCACAGCAGGUUUGUUAAUCUCUUUGGUCAUCACUUUCAAGCUAGAAUUUUACUAAGCUUUGUUGUGUGUUUUAUGCAUUUGAAGGAAAGAGAAGUGGCGCUGAAGUCAUUCAAGAGCGGGAGAACACCGAUUCUGGUUGCAACGGACGUGGCAGCGCGUGGUCUCGACAUUCCCCACGUGGCUCACGUCGUGAACUUCGAUCUACCGAACGACAUUGAUGACUAUGUUCACCGUAUUGGACGAACAGGACGUGCUGGCAAAUCAGGACUAGCGACUGCCUUCUUCAACGACGGCAACACCUCGAUGGCAAGAUCUCUCUCUGAACUGAUGCAAGAAGCUAACCAAGAAGUCCCUGCAUGGCUCUCGCGGUAUGCGUCGCGUUCCUCCUUUGGUGGUGGUAAGAACAAGCGGUCUGGUGGUCGGUUUGGUGGGCGUGACUUUAGAAGGGAAGGUUCUUACAUUAGAGGAGGUGGCGGCGGUGGUGGUGGUUACUAUGGCGGUGGCGGAGGCGGCGGCUAUGGCGGUGGAUAUGGAGCUCCAAGUGGUGGAUAUGGUGGAGAAACUCCAAGUGCGUGGGACUAAGCGCUUAAUGUUUUUUUUGUUUUGUUUUGGUUAUAAACUUUUGACUAUUUAUCUGUCUUCUACAUUCCCAAAGAGAGAGUAUGUAUUGCCCCUUACACUUAUGAGAUGGAUGAAUAUAUAUAUAACUAAGGUUGCUGUUUAGGUGCUUUUGAUCUUUGUAGGCUUUUUUAAGAGUGUCCAAAGCAUAACAGUCCAGUUUCACAGAUUGUCUCCAAUUUUUUAUCAUGUUCUUGAUCUGAAACAUGUCUUGAAAGUGUUAAGUUAAUUGAUGCUCUUGUUCUGCUGGUGUGUUCUAGAUGCACUUCUAAGUUUGGUGAUGUAAAUUUAGUUUCCAGAGAGUAGAUAUAACAGAGAGAUGAUAUUGGUUCACCAACCACAUUACAUGCUUUGAAAGUUUUUAACAGAAACAGAGUUUUUAUCUACUCUUAAGAGAUCCAAAGAGUAGAUAAAAGACCAGUGGAGAUGGUAUUGGUUCACCAACCAUUACACAUAACAGAAACAGAGCUUUUUGUUAUUUACAUACAAAAACCCUUUUAGACAAACACAAAAAACAAAACAUGUCUCCUUUUUCACUUAUCAACGACGUCCAUGUUCCUGUCCCAUGUACCCCGUACUUCCUUGCUCAUGUGUCCUCUCAGGAGGAUCACCAAUAACUAUGUUCGUCGUGGUCUUUGCAAUCUCAGCUAUAGUCUCGCCAAUAGCCCCAAGCACUCCUCCCGCUCCAGCCCCUUGUUCUUGGGCAUAUCUCUCGUUCCUUCUUCCUCCUCCUCCGUAUAACUCCUCCUCUCCAACGUCUCUGGAGACUCCUCCUCCUUGUGUUCCAUAUCCGAAGACAUCUUCCUCACUCGCUCUUCCUCUUCCGUACUCCUCCCUGACGUCUCUCCUCUCUUCUCCGGAGAAGCCUUUUGUUCCAUACCCAAAGACAUCUUCCUCACCUCUCCCUCUUUCUCCUCUGUACUCCUCUUCAAAGCCUCUUCUUGGCUCUUUGACAUAACCUUGUCCCUUCUCUUCCUCACCUCCCUCGAAACAAAACAAAAAAACAAAGUUGCUUGAGCCACACGUAACAACAUAAUGAUUACUAAACAAACCCAAAAACCACAAGAAACAACAUAGUAAUAGUACUAAACAAACCCAAAAACCAAAGUUCCUUGAGCCACACGAAACAACAUAGUGAUACUAAACAAACCCAAAAACAUAGUUCCUUGAGCCACACGUAACAACGUAAUGAUACUAAACAAACCCAAAAACAUAGUUCCUUGAGCCACACGUAACAACAUAAUGAUACUCAAAAUAGGUCUAGUUCAAGUUGUGUGAAGUACCUGGUGCGUCUCUUGGUCUCUGUGUUGAGCUUCCUCUUUCUUCCUAGCUGUGUAUCCAACCACCGUAUCAGCAGCCACUGCAGCUUUCUCCUUAGUCAAGUCCACCGCCUUAGAACCAACUUCCGCCGUCUUAUGCCCUGCGUAACCAACCGCUCCUUCCACCGUACCAGCGACCGCUUUGGUCCCUUGGACCACUUUCUCCGUCGUGAAAUGCGCCGCAGUCCACCCAACCGCAGCCGCUUUCUCGGCUGCCCCUCCAGCGUAAUGUGCAGCUCCUUUGCCUCCUUCCACCACCGUCUCCUUUGCAUACUCAGCCGCUUCUUUGCUCAUUUCCACCGCUUCACCGGCCUUUUGAACCGUGUAGUCUUUGGCUUUUGCCGUCACUGAAACCGUCUGUUCUUUGGCUUCUUGUCCUUUCUGAGCAGCAAUGUCUUUAGCUUCACCAGCUUUCUGAAACGUGUAGUCUUUGGCUCUUGCAGCCUGUUCAGCCGCAGUGUUUCCAGUGUCUCUACCUUUCUCAGUGGCAUACUGAGAAGCUCUCUGAGCUUUCUNNNNNNNNNNNNNNNNNNNNNNNNNNNNNNNNNNNNNNNNNNNNNNNNNNNNNNNNNNNNNNNNNNNNNNNNNNNNNNNNNNNNNNNNNNNNNNNNNNNNNNNNNNNNNNNNNNNNNNNNNNNNNNNNNNNNNNNNNNNNNNNNNNNNNNNNNNNNNNNNNNNNNNNNNNNNNNNNNNNNNNNNNNNNNNNNNNNNNNNNNNNNNNNNNNNNNNNNNNNNNNNNNNNNNNNNNNNNNNNNNNNNNCUUCCGAUCCAAAAAGGUAACCCAAAAUCGAAAUUUAGGGUUUUUCUCCACCCUUGAUUAGAUUUCUCCGAUUCGUUCUUAGAUUCUCUUGACCAGUUUCUGAGGUGAGAGCCCCUGUGUGUUGCGUGAUUCCUUUGGCAUUAGUGUUGUUCAUUAUUCCCCUUUCGUACUUUGUCCUCGUUGGAUUAUUCUAUUCUCACAAAGUCUCUUCCUUUUUGGGAAUUCGAUUAUGAUUAACUUGAACCCAUCUCGUGAUUUUGCAGGAUUUUUCAUAAAGGAGCAACCUUUGAAGGAUUUGAACUUUGUUUUGUUUGCUUGCUUGCUGGGUUUGUUUGAAACAUUAUGAGUGAAUCAUGGGCUGACGUGGCUGACUCAGAGAACAACACUGCCUCUGGGUCUACUACUCAAAACUCUCACAACACUGCCUCUGGGUCUACUAAACCGUCACGACCUGCUUAUGUUCCUCCACAUCUAAGGAACAAGCAACCAUCUUCCGACCCUGUUGCUCCACUACCAGCUAAUGAUCGUGUUGGCUAUAACGGUCCACCUUCUGCCUCUCGUUGGGCUCCUCCUGGAGGUAGUGGUGGUUACAGGGCUGAUGCAGGGCGUCCACGAGGAACCGGCGGUGGCUGGAACAACAGGAGUGGAGGGUGGGACCGUAGGGAGCGUGAAGUCAACCCCUUUGAGAACGCUGACGCUGAGCCGGAGCCUGCGUUUACUGAGCAGGACAACACUGGGAUUAACUUUGAUGCUUACGAAGAUAUCCCGAUUGAGACUAGUGGGGAUAACGUGCCUCCUGCUGUCAACACGUUUGCGGAGAUUGAUCUCGGGGAGGCUUUGAAUCUGAACAUCAGGAGGUGCAAGUACGUGAAGCCGACGCCGGUGCAGAGGCACGCGAUUCCUAUAUUGCUUGCGGGGAGGGACUUGAUGGCUUGUGCUCAGACGGGGUCUGGGAAGACGGCUGCGUUUUGUUUUCCGAUAAUUAGUGGGAUUAUGAAGGAUCAGCAUGUAGUGCAGAGACCUCGUGGCUCACGGACUGUUUACCCUCUUGCGGUUAUUCUCUCGCCAACAAGGGAGUUGGCAAGUCAGGUUCGUGUUCUCUUCAAACGUUAAGACACUAAUCGCUUGAUGAAAACUCAUUCUGUGAUUUUUGGCAGAUACAUGAUGAGGCUAAGAAGUUUUCUUACCAAACUGGUGUGAAGGUGGUUGUUGCUUAUGGAGGAACACCUAUUAACCAGCAGGUAUAUUAAUGUACAUUUAGUUUUCUAGUUAGCUUUAAUCUGUUUUGUUGACAUCUUGUGUUGUUUGUUUGUGCAGUUACGGGAACUUGAGCGAGGGGUUGAUAUUCUUGUGGCGACUCCUGGUAGACUAAAUGAUUUGCUCGAGAGGGCUAGAGUCUCUAUGCAGAUGAUUAGAUUCUUAGCUCUUGAUGAGGCUGAUAGGAUGCUGGACAUGGGUUUUGAGCCACAGAUUAGAAAGAUUGUGGAACAAAUGGACAUGCCUCCGCGUGGUGUUAGACAGACGCUUUUGUUUAGUGCUACUUUUCCAAGAGAGAUUCAGGUUUGGUUUACUUGUGUGUCAACUCUUAUGCUCUAUACUUCUUCCUUGCAAAUUAUAUGUGAUGGAGAGCCUUAGAUUGAUUAGGUUUGAUGCUACUGUUUCUGCUCGUAGCACUCGUUACUAGAAUGUUUCUGCUUUUGCAUAUUCAUUUGAAAAUCUGAAAAAAUUAUAUAUUUGUUUAUUGUGCAGAGACUCGCAGCUGACUUCUUAGCAAACUAUAUAUUCUUGGCUGUGGGUAGAGUAGGUUCAAGUACUGACUUAAUUGUCCAAAGGGUUGAGUUUGUCCUUGACUCUGACAAGAGAAGUCAUCUCAUGGACCUUCUUCAUGCUCAGAGAGAGAAUGGCAUGGUAAAAAUGUCACUCUUCUUUUCUUCAGCUGGUCUUGUAUGGCAGUCGUUACCAUUCUUCUGAUGACUGUUUU
Molecule: long non-coding RNA, 5157 nt
Filed under: Brassica napus (rape)
Lineage: Eukaryota; Viridiplantae; Streptophyta; Magnoliopsida; Brassicales; Brassicaceae
Description: long non-coding RNA (BNAP_LNC003796)
Source: RNAcentral